Molecule: non-coding RNA, 24 nt
Filed under: Arabidopsis thaliana (thale cress)
Lineage: Eukaryota; Viridiplantae; Streptophyta; Magnoliopsida; Brassicales; Brassicaceae
Source: RNAcentral
AGGUGUUACGAGUUGCUCUUUUGC